UUCAGAUUACUGACGCAU
This 18-nucleotide small nuclear RNA is filed under the name Arabidopsis thaliana (thale cress). RNAcentral's name for it is "snRNA_15981". The record is from RNAcentral. Lineage: Eukaryota; Viridiplantae; Streptophyta; Magnoliopsida; Brassicales; Brassicaceae.